Molecule: ribosomal RNA, 497 nt
Filed under: uncultured bacterium
Lineage: Bacteria
Description: partial 16S ribosomal RNA
Rfam family: Bacterial small subunit ribosomal RNA
Source: RNAcentral
GAUGAACGCUGGCGGCGUGCCUAAUACAUGCAAGUCGAGCGAACAGACGAGGAGCUUGCUCCUCUGACGUUAGCGGCGGACGGGUGAGUAACACGUGGAUAACCUACCUAUAAGACUGGGAUAACUUCGGGAAACCGGAGCUAAUACCGGAUAAUAUAUUGAACCGCAUGGUUCAAUAGUGAAAGACGGUUUUGCUGUCACUUAUAGAUGGAUCCGCGCCGCAUUAGCUAGUUGGUAAGGUAACGGCUUACCAAGGCGACGAUGCGUAGCCGACCUGAGAGGAGGAUAGGCCACACUGGGACUGAGACACGGGUCAGCCUCCGACGGGAGGAAGCAGUGGGGAAUAUUGGGCAAUGGGCGCAACCCUAAUCCAUCCAUACCGCGUGGGUGAAGAAGGCCUUCGGGUUGUAAAGCUCUUUUGUUGGGAAAGAAAAGCAGCCGGGUAAAACCCCGCUGUUCUGACGGUACCCAACGAAUAAGCACCGGCUAACUUCGUG